RNAcentral lists this transfer RNA (74 nucleotides) under Alphaproteobacteria bacterium. RNAcentral's name for it is "tRNA-His". It matches the Rfam family "tRNA". From Rfam's summary of the family: Transfer RNA (tRNA) molecules are approximately 80 nucleotides in length. Their secondary structure includes four short double-helical elements and three loops (D, anti-codon, and T loops). Further hydrogen bonds mediate the characteristic L-shaped molecular structure. tRNAs have two regions of fundamental functional importance: the anti-codon, which is responsible for specific mRNA codon recognition, and the 3' end, to which the tRNAs corresponding amino acid is attached (by aminoacyl-tRNA synthetases). tRNAs cope with the degeneracy of the genetic code in two manners: having more than one tRNA (with a specific anti-codon) for a particular amino acid; and 'wobble' base-pairing, i.e. permitting non-standard base-pairing at the 3rd anti-codon position. Lineage: Bacteria; Pseudomonadati; Pseudomonadota; Alphaproteobacteria. RNAcentral also lists the same sequence under 1 other name. The record is from RNAcentral.
GUGGCUGUAGCUCAGUUGGUUAGAGCGCCUGACUGUGGCUCAGGAGGUCGUGGGUUCGAAACCCAUCAGCCACC